This 2950-nucleotide small RNA is filed under the name Pan troglodytes (chimpanzee). RNAcentral's name for it is "retained intron". The record is from RNAcentral. Lineage: Eukaryota; Metazoa; Chordata; Mammalia; Primates; Hominidae.
GCACGAUGGCUGCUGGGCGUGGAGGUGUCGAGAGUGACUGUGCUGGGGCUGCUCCAUCGUUGUCUGAGCCUCCCGGUGCUGCCGCUGUGGCCGUUUCUUUGAUGAGGCUCUCAGAGGCCGAGUCAUUCACUGCCGGCCUGAAGCUGCCCAUGCACGUAUUCGGGCUGGAGCCUCUGAGGCCACACAAACGCCGGCUGGGGAGGCAAAGUGUGGGGCUGAGCACCAGAACUCCAGGAGCGUCUGGGCUGGAGACAGAACUGGGUGGGCAGGUGGGGAGGGCCUGCAGAUCUGAGUGGGCAGCCGAGGAGGAACCCAGAAGACGCCAGCGAUGGAGCUCUGCUGGGGCAGAAUGUGGCCAGGAGGGGCGGGAGCGGUGACGGCCUGUCUGGCGCUAGAACGAGGGACCGUGCUCUCAGGACCUCUGGAUGUUCCCGAAUAUCCUGAUGUUCCACCCAGAAGCCGCCAGGGCCAUCCUGGAGUACCGCAUCCGCACGCUGGACGGGGCCCUGGAGAACGCCCAGAACCUGGGCUACCAGGGAGCCAAGUUUGCCUGGGAGAGUGCAGACUCCGGCCUAGAGGUUUGCCCCGAGGACAUUUACGGAGUCCAGGAAGUCCACGUCAACGGGGCCGUGGUGUUGGCCUUCGAGCUGUACUACCAUACCACCCAGGACCUGCAGCUAUUUCGAGAGGCUGGUGGCUGGGACGUGGUCAGGGCUGUGGCCGAGUUUUGGUGCAGUCGUGUUGAGUGGAGCCCCAGGGAGGAGAAGUACCACCUGAGGGGAGUCAUGUCCCCCGACGAGUACCAUUCAGGGGUCGACAACUCUGUGUACACCAACGUCCUGGUCCAGAACAGGUCAGACACAAGAUCCCCUCACCUCACCCCACCCCCGCCCCAGCUGGAGACCUGCCCCGGUGCCCCUACUAGGCAGGCAGCAGCUGGAAGUGUAGGGGUUGCAGCCUCCCCCACCUACCUCCACCUCCAGCCUGCGCUUUGCUGCUGCCCUGGCCCAGGACCUGGGUCUGCCCAUCCCCAGCCAGUGGCUGGCAGUGGCUGACAAGAUCAAGGUACCCUUUGACGUGGAGCAGAACUUCCACCCGGAGUUCGACGGGUAUGAGCCUGGUGAGUGGACCCCUUCAAGGGCUCCUCCCCUGCCGUCGAGACCCUCGAGUCUGUCCUGGAACACCUGCCAGUCAGCGGCACCUCCCUGUAGGAGAGGUGGUGAAGCAGGCAGACGUCGUGCUCCUGGGAUACCCAGUCCCCUUCUCCCUGAGUCCUGAUGUUCGCAGGAAAAAUCUGGAGAUUUACGAGGCUGUGACGUCCCCCCAGGGCCCUGCCAUGACCUGGAGCAUGUUUGCUGUGGGCUGGAUGGAGCUGAAGGACACAGUGCGGGCCCGGAGCCUCCUGGACAGGAGCUUUGCCAACAUGGCUGAACCCUUCAAGGUGUGGACGGAGAAUGCAGACGGGUCAGGCGCUGUGAACUUCCUGACAGGCAUGGGGGGCUUCCUGCAGGCGGUGGUCUUCGGGUGCACGGGGUUCAGGUAAGUGCAGAGGCUGGCAGAGGGCAGCCCAUGCCCCCACCUGCCACCUCACAAACCUCUCCUCCCACAGGGUCACCCGAGCGGGUAUGACCUUUGACCCUGUGUGUCUGUCGGGGAUCUCCAGAGUGAGCGUCUCCGGCAUCUUCUACCAGGGGAACAAGCUCAACUUCUCUUUUUCCGAGGACUCCGUGACCGUGGAGGUCACAGCUCGAGCAGGGCCCUGGGCUCCUCACCUGGAGGCUGAGCUGUGGCCAUCCCAGUCCCGGCUCUCCCUGUUGCCAGGACACAAGGUCUCCUUUCCCCGCUCGGCUGGCCGGAUACAAAGGUCACCCCCGAAGCUGCCUGGAAGUUCCAGCUCCGAGUUCCCUGGGAGGACUUUUUCAGAUGUUAGGGACCCGCUCCAGAGCCCCGUCUGGGUCACCCUGGGUUCCUCCAGCCCCACCGAGUCACUCACUGUGGACCCUGCCUCUGAAUAAUCAGGAACGGUGGCUUCAGAGACGUCUCUUGGGCCUUCCCUCUGGCCACGUCUGCACCCACCCCUCCUGGGCACCCUCCUAGCCUGCCAUCCCUCACCUGCAGCCAGGCUCUCAGGGAAGGUCCAUGCUGCUUGGCCUGAGUUCAAGGCUUUCUGCCUGUAGCCUGGACUCCCGUGGACCCCCGUGGGCAGGUGGCUUCCCCGUGGCAUCCCCACACCGCCUCUGCCUGCCCCUGUGGACUGAUGCUAUCGCGCACCGUCCCACGGCCCCACCCCAAGCUCCUGAAGCCGGGGUCUGAGCCUGCAUCACCUCUGGCCUCUCAUCCCCCACUCUCCUGAGAGCAGUGGUCACAGCGGCUGGCCACUCUGCUGAGAAGGCAGAGAGGCAGGCGCAGGCCUCAGCGUGGACAGCAGGGAUAAGGGGCAUGAAGGACGGGGACUCGGCCCCUUCAGAAUUCCUCAGGACUCUCAGGUGCAGCUUUGCCAAAAAGGAACUUUUCAUGUCAUGCAGUUGAGGGGACUUAGUCUCAAUCCCAGGCUCCUCUUGACUCUGGGCAGCUUUAAUCAGGUUGGGCAGCCUCUGCUACAGCGUGGGGUGGGAUGGCUCUCUUCCCUCAGCCACGCCGCUUGUGAGGACAGAGGUUGGGGGAGUGGGAAGUGGGAAGUCACCAGAGAACAAGAGAGGGAUUUGAGGGCGAGACCCCAGCGCUCUCCACGGACCAGCCAGAGGGACUGGAGCCAGGUGUGCAUGGGUUCAAGGCCCUGGCCCUGCCCAGCCUCUGUCUUGGGAGCUCAGCCCCAGGGUUGGGUCGUCAGCAGUUUCCCAAGAACAAGAUGUGAUGGCAUCUGCUGCUGAAACCCUGAUGAGGACCAGGCCCCCUGCACCGCUGUCAGCCUGAGGAAUUAAAGCUUUGGUGCUGGGAAGAGCAUUAUUCC